AUACCCUUCUUUGGAAGGACAUAGAGCAACGCAAUCCUAUUUCUUUUCCAUGUGUGGUCAUCAUCUGACUCUCUGGUGUGCUGGUAUGUGUUGUUUUAGAUAGAAUCUUGUCAUUUAAAUAAAUGCCAAUUAAUUAUCACUGUUUUUUUUUUUAAAGAAUUAUAUCUCUACCUAUUUUUUGGCCUUUCCAGUCUAAUUUACAAGCUGAAACUGAACAGUCAUCUAAAGGUUAAAACAUCAGUUCUCAAUCAACUUCUUUGUACCCAAGGCACUGGAUUUGGAAUAGCACCUUAGAUUUAUGUAAUGGUGAAGUUGAGAUGAUGAUCAAAGUCUUACUUCAGACAAAUCAUGAGCCUCAGAGGAAGUGACGACAGAGAUGUCUGUGGAAACUAUUGAAGAGGAAGGCUUUGCUAAAUCUUCAUGGAGGAGACAGUGAGGAUAAAAUGGACUUUGUGGGAAGUUGAAGCUGAGUUCCAGCUCUUAAAACAAUUAUGGCUAGAUUUAUUGGUGGGCGUGAUAGUUCUUGAUUGUACAACUCCAGUGAGAAAGAAGAUAAAUGAGGCUACAGCACCUGCAAGACAUAGAGGCAAGAUUAGCCAAGAAUUAAGAGCCUCUUCUGAGAGUCACAGACACCUCUGAAAAGCCUGGCAAGAGCUAAGUAUGUGAGGGGGCAGCGAAGACUACAGGAUGGGAAGGAAAAACAAAUGUGCUAUUUUUAGGUUGCUACUUGAUGUGAAAUCAAAUACUGAUAGUUAAGUUAUAACAUAAAAGGUCAAUCAGGAAUUUAGUGUACAAGUCUUAGCACUUACUAUCGGAC
This is a long non-coding RNA of Pan paniscus (pygmy chimpanzee), 817 nucleotides long. The record is from Ensembl. Lineage: Eukaryota; Metazoa; Chordata; Mammalia; Primates; Hominidae.